RNAcentral lists this ribosomal RNA (161 nucleotides) under Mystroxylon aethiopicum subsp. macrocarpum. RNAcentral's name for it is "5.8S ribosomal RNA". It matches the Rfam family "5.8S ribosomal RNA". Rfam says of the family: 5.8S ribosomal RNA (5.8S rRNA) is a component of the large subunit of the eukaryotic ribosome. It is transcribed by RNA polymerase I as part of the 45S precursor that also contains 18S and 28S rRNA. The record is from RNAcentral. Lineage: Eukaryota; Viridiplantae; Streptophyta; Magnoliopsida; Celastrales; Celastraceae.
AUCGUAAUCGAAACGACUCUCGGCAACGGAUAUCUCGGCUCUCGCAUCGAUGAAGAACGUAGCGAAAUGCGAUACUUGGUGUGAAUUGCAGAAUCCCGUGAACCAUCGAGUUUUUGAACGCAAGUUGCGCCCGAAGCCGUCAGGCCGAGGGCACGCCUGCC